AUUGAACGCUGGCGGCAGGCCUAACACAUGCAAGUCGAGCGGAUGAAGGGAGCUUGCUCCUGGAUUCAGCGGCGGACGGGUGAGUAAUGCCUAGGAAUCUGCCUGGUAGUGGGGGAUAACGUCCGGAAACGGGCGCUAAUACCGCAUACGUCCUGAGGGAGAAAGUGGGGGAUCUUCGGACCUCACGCUAUCAGAUGAGCCUAGGUCGGAUUAGCUAGUUGGUGGGGUAAAGGCCUACCAAGGCGACGAUCCGUAACUGGUCUGAGAGGAUGAUCAGUCACAAUGGAACUGAGACACGGUCCAGACUCCUACGGGAGGCAGCAGUGGGGAAUAUUGGACAAUGGGCGAAAGCCUGAUCCAGCCAUGCCGCGUGUGUGAAGAAGGUCCUCGGAUUGUAAAGCACUUUAAGUUGGGAGGAAGGGCAGUAAGUUAAUACCUUGCUGUUUUGACGUUACCAACAGAAUAAGCACCGGCUAACUUCGUG
This 484-nucleotide ribosomal RNA is filed under the name uncultured bacterium. Its description in RNAcentral is "partial 16S ribosomal RNA". It matches the Rfam family "Bacterial small subunit ribosomal RNA", at positions 30 to 507 of the family's 1533-position model. The record is from RNAcentral.